RNAcentral lists this ribosomal RNA (1448 nucleotides) under uncultured organism. Its description in RNAcentral is "16S ribosomal RNA". It matches the Rfam family "Bacterial small subunit ribosomal RNA". The record is from RNAcentral.
GCCUAACACAUGCAAGUCGAGCGGUAGCACAGAGAGCUUGCUCUCGGGUGACGAGCGGCGGACGGGUGAGUAAUGUCUGGGAAACUGCCUGAUGGAGGGGGAUAACUACUGGAAACGGUAGCUAAUACCGCAUAACGUCGCAAGACCAAAGUGGGGGACCUUCGGGCCUCAUGCCAUCAGAUGUGCCCAGAUGGGAUUAGCUAGUAGGUGGGGUAACGGCUCACCUAGGCGACGAUCCCUAGCUGGUCUGAGAGGAUGACCAGCCACACUGGAACUGAGACACGGUCCAGACUCCUACGGGAGGCAGCAGUGGGGAAUAUUGCACAAUGGGCGCAAGCCUGAUGCAGCCAUGCCGCGUGUAUGAAGAAGGCCUUCGGGUUGUAAAGUACUUUCAGCGGGGAGGAAGGCGAUAAGGUUAAUAACCUUGUCGAUUGACGUUACCCGCAGAAGAAGCACCGGCUAACUCCGUGCCAGCAGCCGCGGUAAUACGGAGGGUGCAAGCGUUAAUCGGAAUUACUGGGCGUAAAGCGCACGCAGGCGGUCUGUCAAGUCGGAUGUGAAAUCCCCGGGCUCAACCUGGGAACUGCAUUCGAAACUGGCAGGCUAGAGUCUUGUAGAGGGGGGUAGAAUUCCAGGUGUAGCGGUGAAAUGCGUAGAGAUCUGGAGGAAUACCGGUGGCGAAGGCGGCCCCCUGGACAAAGACUGACGCUCAGGUGCGAAAGCGUGGGGAGCAAACAGGAUUAGAUACCCUGGUAGUCCACGCCGUAAACGAUGUCGAUUUGGAGGUUGUGCCCUUGAGGCGUGGCUUCCGGAGCUAACGCGUUAAAUCGACCGCCUGGGGAGUACGGCCGCAAGGUUAAAACUCAAAUGAAUUGACGGGGGCCCGCACAAGCGGUGGAGCAUGUGGUUUAAUUCGAUGCAACGCGAAGAACCUUACCUGGUCUUGACAUCCACAGAACUUAGCAGAGAUGCUUUGGUGCCUUCGGGAACUGUGAGACAGGUGCUGCAUGGCUGUCGUCAGCUCGUGUUGUGAAAUGUUGGGUUAAGUCCCGCAACGAGCGCAACCCUUAUCCUUUGUUGCCAGCGGUUAGGCCGGGAACUCAAAGGAGACUGCCAGUGAUAAACUGGAGGAAGGUGGGGAUGACGUCAAGUCAUCAUGGCCCUUACGACCAGGGCUACACACGUGCUACAAUGGCAUAUACAAAGAGAAGCGACCUCGCGAGAGCAAGCGGACCUCAUAAAGUAUGUCGUAGUCCGGAUUGGAGUCUGCAACUCGACUCCAUGAAGUCGGAAUCGCUAGUAAUCGUAGAUCAGAAUGCUACGGUGAAUACGUUCCCGGGCCUUGUACACACCGCCCGCCACACCAUGGGAGUGGGUUGCAAAAGAAGUAGGUAGCUUAACCUUCGGGAGGGCGCUUACCACUUUGUGAUUCAUGACUGGGGUGAAGU